UACGUAGGGGGCAAGCGUUGUCCGGAUUUAUUGGGCGUAAAGAGCGUGUAGGCGGCUUGGUAGGUCUGCUGUGAAAACUCGAGGCUCAACCUCGAGCUGUCGGCGGAAACCACUUGGCUAGAGUCCGGAAGAGGAGAGUGGAAUUCCUGGUGUAGCGGUGAAAUGCGCAGAUAUCCCCAAGAACACCAGUUGCGAAGGCGGCCGUCUGGACACAUAUUGACGCUGAGGCUCGAAAGCAUGGGGAGCAAACAGG
RNAcentral lists this ribosomal RNA (253 nucleotides) under uncultured bacterium. RNAcentral's name for it is "partial 16S ribosomal RNA". It matches the Rfam family "Bacterial small subunit ribosomal RNA", at positions 524 to 776 of the family's 1533-position model. The record is from RNAcentral.